CAAUAGCGUAUAUUAAAGUUGUUGCGGUUAAAAGCUCGUAGUUGGAUUUCUGCUGAGGACGAUCGGUCCGCCCUCUGGGUGAGUAUCUGGCUCGGCCUUGGCAUCUUCUUGGAGAACGUUACUGCACUUGACUGUGUGGUGCGGUAUCCAGGACUUUUACUUUGAGGAAAUUAGAGUGUUUCAAGCAGGCGCACGCCUUGAAUACAUUAGCAUGGAAUAAUAAGAUAGGACCUUGGUUCUAUUUUGUUUGGUUUCUUAGAGCUGAGGUAAUAGAUUAAUAGGGAUAGUUGGGGGUGGCUAGUAUUGACCGGCCACGAGGUGAAUUACUUGGAUUCGGUCAAGACUAACUUAUGCGAAAGACA
RNAcentral lists this ribosomal RNA (362 nucleotides) under uncultured eukaryote. RNAcentral's name for it is "bacterial SSU rRNA". It matches the Rfam family "Eukaryotic small subunit ribosomal RNA", at positions 592 to 954 of the family's 1831-position model. The record is from RNAcentral.